AGUGAACGCUGGCGGUAGGCCUAACACAUGCGAGUCGAACGGCAGCACAGUAAGAGCUUGCUCUUACGGGUGGCGAGUGGCGGACGGGUGAGGAAUACAUCGGAAUCUACUUUUUCGUGGGGGAUAACGUAGGGAAACUUACGCUAAUACCGCAUACGACCUACGGGUGAAAGCAGGGGAUCUUCGGACCUUGCGCGAUUGAAUGAGCCGAUGUCGGAUUAGCUAGUUGGCGGGGUAAAGGCCCACCAAGGCGACGAUCCGUAGCUGGUCUGAGAGGAUAAUCAGCCACACUGGAACUGAGACACGGUCCAGACUCCUACGGGAGGCAGCAGUGGGGAAUAUUGGACAAUGGGCGCAAGCCUGAUCCAGCCAUACCGCGUGGGUGAAGAAGGCCUUCGGGUUGUAAAGCCCUUUUGUUGGGAAAGAAAAGCAGCAGGUUAAUACCCCGCUGUUCUGACGGUACCCAAAGAAUAAGCACCGGCUAACCUCGUG
This 492-nucleotide ribosomal RNA is filed under the name uncultured bacterium. RNAcentral describes it as "partial 16S ribosomal RNA". It matches the Rfam family "Bacterial small subunit ribosomal RNA", at positions 29 to 507 of the family's 1533-position model. The record is from RNAcentral.